CAGUAGCCACGUUAAUACAGAGGGUGCGAGCGUUAAUCGGAUUUACUGGGCGUAAAGCGUGCGUAGGUGGUGGUUUAAGUCCGUUGUGAAAGCCCUGGGCUCAACCUGGGAAUUGCAGUGGAUACUGGGUCACUAGAGUGUGGUAGAGGAUAGUGGAAUUUCCGGUGUAGCAGUGAAAUGCGUAGAGAUCGGAAGGAACAUCUGUGGCGAAGGCGACUAUCUGGGCCAACACUGACACUGAGGCACGAAAGCGUGGGGAGCAAACAGGAUUAGAUACCCGUGUAGUCCCUGUCUCUUAUAC
RNAcentral lists this ribosomal RNA (301 nucleotides) under uncultured bacterium. RNAcentral's name for it is "partial 16S ribosomal RNA". It matches the Rfam family "Bacterial small subunit ribosomal RNA", at positions 509 to 807 of the family's 1533-position model. The record is from RNAcentral.